UAGAGUUUGAUCCUGGCUCAGGAUGAACGCUAGCGAUAGGCUUAACACAUGCAAGUCGAGGGGCAGCAUGGUCUUAGCUUGCUAAGACUGAUGGCGACCGGCGCACGGGUGCGUAACGCGUAUGCAACUUGCCUCACAGAGGGGGAUAACCCGUCGAAAGACGGACUAAUACCGCGUACACUCUAUGUUGGGCAUCCAAUGUAGAGGAAAUGAAAUUCGCUGUGAGAUAGGCAUGCGUCCCAUUAGCUAGUUGGUGAGGUAACGGCUCACCAAGGCGACGAUGGGUAGGGGAACUGAGAGGUUGAACCCCCACACUGGUACUGAGACACGGACCAGACUCCUACGGGAGGCAGCAGUGAGGAAUAUUGGUCAAUGGGCGAGAGCCUGAACCAGCCAAGUCGCGUGAAGGAUGACUGUCUUAUGGAUUGUAAACUUCUUUUAUACGGGAAUAACAAGAGUCACGUGUGGCUCCCUGCAUGUACCGUAUGAAUAAGCAUCGGCUAACUCCGUGCCAGCAGCCGCGGUAAUACGGAGGAUGCGAGCGUUAUCC
This 550-nucleotide ribosomal RNA is filed under the name uncultured bacterium. Its description in RNAcentral is "bacterial SSU rRNA". It matches the Rfam family "Bacterial small subunit ribosomal RNA", at positions 1 to 546 of the family's 1533-position model. The record is from RNAcentral.